RNAcentral lists this unclassified non-coding RNA (335 nucleotides) under Hevea brasiliensis (rubber tree). The record is from RNAcentral. Lineage: Eukaryota; Viridiplantae; Streptophyta; Magnoliopsida; Malpighiales; Euphorbiaceae.
GAAGAACUGGAGAUCAAUGAAGUGACUGACAAAUGAAAGUGGAGAAAAAUCAAAUGAUUGGCAAGUGAAUGCAGCAUAGGGCUCCAAGACUGGACAAAAGCAAAUGAAUUUCUUAAUAGAUUUUGUUCACCCGUUUCAAAAUUUUCACUAGUGUACUUUUGGACUUAUCUUAAGGAAUCAAUUCUCAGUUCCAUUGAAAUGCUUUUGAAGCCAUGUAAUUCUAAGAGAAAUUUACAAGAAAACUCUUCUAUCCUAAUGUUAACUAUUUUUCAGUAGCUAUUUAAAAAAAAAUACACCUGGAGCACAAUGCUUCAUAUAUGGUAAUGAUUUGUAUC